CAGUAGCCGCGGGAAUACAGAGGGUGCGAGCGUUAAUCGGAUUUACUGGGCAUAAAGCGUGCGUAGGCGGCUUUUUAAGUCGGAUGUGAAAUCCCUGAGCUUAACUUAGGAAUUGCAUUCGAUACUGGGAAGCUAGAGUAUGGGAGAGGAUGGUAGAAUUCCAGGUGUAGCGGUGAAAUGCGUAGAGAUCUGGAGGAAUACCGAUGGCGAAGGCAGCCAUCUGGCCUAAUACUGACGCUGAGGUACGAAAGCAUGGGGAGCAAACAGGAUUAGAUACCCCCGUAGUCCCUGUCUCUUAUAC
Molecule: ribosomal RNA, 301 nt
Filed under: uncultured bacterium
Lineage: Bacteria
Description: partial 16S ribosomal RNA
Rfam family: Bacterial small subunit ribosomal RNA
Source: RNAcentral